Non-coding RNA from Heterocephalus glaber (naked mole-rat), 3010 nucleotides. The record is from RefSeq and is a predicted model, not a curated record. NCBI's taxonomy places the organism in Eukaryota, Metazoa, Chordata, Mammalia, Rodentia, Bathyergidae.
UCUACUUUAGCUUCCAGGGCAUGAAGCCACCUCUCUCAUGGAUAUUGCUUCAAACCAAGUUUCCCUCUUCACGGAAGAAAGUUUCCCUCUUCACGGAAAAAAGCCAAGGCUGCACCUAAUUCUCAUUAGCAACGGCAGCUGUGCUUGGGCUGGUGUUUAAGCCACCAGGAAAAGGCAAAGUAACAGUAAUAGCUUUGACUGAUUGCUCGGCAAGGGAAACAGAGCCCUCAGGUGUUGUAGACUUUCUAUGGCCUAUAAACCUCUUUGAAAACCUGUUUCUCAGAAUUUAAGGCUCAGCUCAAUUGAGAACUGAAGAAAGAAAAUGACUCAAGAUGGACAUUAUUGGAUCUGCUGCUGCUACUUCUUUCAGGCCCGGAAUCUCCUCCCAUGUUAUAGUCAACCUUUCAGGAAGGAAGAAAGCCAAUGCAGGCUUCUGGCAGGGCUGCUGUUCGCAGGAGCCUCACAGGCCCAGGAUUCACAUGAGACCUUUCCUCACCAUCCAGGGAAGAUGUCCCUGCCAGCCCUGCGUGGAAAUGUCACCUGUCACGGCCUCACUUACUUCAAGGACUGGAGGCAGGGCCCCAAGUGUUGCAUAAGCUCCUCCUCCUUCUCGUAAGAUUCCAGCAAGCUCUGUGCCUUGUCGUGCUGAUAGCAGUAUAUUUUAUAAAUCUCUUCCAUUGGCCCUUUAAUCUGCAAGAACACCUCUCCUGAAAAAUACAAAGCAGGGGCAGAUGGUAUGAAACCAGACCAAGCCAGCACUUCGGAUGUGUAUCAUUCAACAAUGUUGAUUCUUGCAAAAAUGUUGUAUGGGCCCCACUUUAUCCUCAGGUAAUUCAAAAGGUGUAUUAAGUACAGAGAAAUUUGUUUCUCUUUUCUUUCUUUCCUCUUCGCUUUCCUUCUUUAUUUCCUCCCUCCCUGUCUUCUCUCCCUCCCUCUCUCCCUUCCUCUUUCCCUUCUUCUUUCCUUCCACUUAUAAAACAAAGGAUGAAGAGCUUGACAGAGACGGGCAUUAAGGAAGCAGAGUUCUCCUGGAGGUGACUGUGCCAGGCUGGUGGGCAGGCUGGUGGCUCAUACCUGUGGUUUGAGCAGAUCUCUCGAAGUGGCUGGGACAGGUUUGGAUUGGGCUGCAUGAAACACUGGUGUUGUGACUUAAGCCAAUUAGUGUAACUCUCUGAGUUUCAUAGGAUUGUUAUAAAAUGAGAGGUAGUGUAUCUAAGGCCAGUGCACAGUACAAAUAUACUAAGGUACUACAAUGGGACUGUUUCUGUUAAUUUACUAGAAGUAAAAGAGGAGAAAUUUUAGGUACUAGGUAAGUGACUUUUCAGUAUUUAUUUCACUAACAUUUCCUGAGUUCUCUGAAAGGCAAGUGGUAGAAUUUAGAGCAAUAGAAUACUUCCUUAUAUGUGACAAUAAAAAGAAACCACAAUUUAAUUCCUUAUAGAAAUUAAGUGGGUAAUACUGUGAACCAAGAUUGUGAAUGUAUUUUAUCGAAGCAACUUGAGCUAAUUGUACCCAGGCAUUUAGUGAAUGCUCUGAUAUUAUGAUAAAUCAGGAGUAUACAUGGUGGAUGAGGCAGGUAUUGGAGGACAGCUUGAUUCAGUCACCAUUGCAUCACUUAAAACUAAUUGGUCAGUGUCUACUACCGCCUAGCAUGUGCUAGAUGACUUGGGGUAUGUGGCAGAACCCACCCUCAGAAACACUGCAGACUCGAGAUCCAUGGUGAUCCGGAGGCUGAAGGGAUUGACAGUGAUGUGGACCUGGUUGUCCGGACCUGUUACAGUGACGGGGGAGUCUGUCUCCCCACAGAAACACAAUGUCCUUGUCUGUAGGGUUGUCUGCACGUGUUUUAUGCACAUUAACUGCCUCAUCCCCUAUGCACAUGAAGAAACAAGAGGCUGUUCAUCCAUAUUGAACAAGGAUGAACAAGUCUGAGUCUAACAAAUCAUUUCUCCGAAGUCCUGCCAGGGGACACAGUCAGGGCUAUUGUCCAGCUGUCCUUGAGUAUCAGCCCCUCACACUCAGCCCAGCCAGAUACUCCAGGGGAUGCAGCUGAAAUGGGCACUGAACUUGAGGCACAAAUCAGGGUUUGUGUGGUGGCUUUGGGAAUGACGGUUUAAAAAAAAUGUGAGCCACUUUCCCUGUAUUAUUCAGAAAGUGGAAAUAACACUAGCUACAGUACUACUGAGAUUAAUUUAGGAACUAAGCAGGGCGAGGGAUGCAAACUGUAUCUGCCCCUGACUAGUUGUCACUUGUCUCUUAAAGCUGCUUCACUGUCUGUAGAAUUAAAACACCAGUCUCAUAGUGAAAGUGUCAUAGUCUUUUCUUAUUGGUAGCUAGUCAAUAAAAGACUUCUUUCCUUUUCAUUAUAUGUGCUUUUCUCUGUGAUUAGAGAUUCUGAGGUGACGGAGAGGUGUGUGCAUGUGUUUUCUCUUGUGGCUGUUUGCUUUAAUAGUCUGUAAGGAGACCCAGGGACUGUGGGCAUCUUUGAAGCUGAGUGGAUGCGGAAUUCUUGAUUUCUUUCAGGAGCAGAUCCUCCUGGCACUAUAGAUCUUGUAGAUCUGCUCUAUAAGACAGCUGCACAAACAAUAAGAAAUAGUUGACACAGAGAGAAAAUAAAAGAGGACAGCAACUUCAUGUAGGGGCAGGCAUAGGUGGAGAGAAACCCCUAGCAGAACUAGGCAGCAGAAGGAGCCGGGGUGUUGGAUGGGGGAGAGGGAAGGCCCAGAAAUAGGAGAGAGAGACAGGUUAAGCUGCAGCUCCCUGCAAGCUGAGAACUGAGGGUCUGAGUCCACACAGCCCACACAGGUGACAUGUAAAUGUACAUGUUCACUGCUAAGAAAGUAGGGCUAGAGACUGAAAAAGAGAGAGGCAAAGAUAGCCUCACGAAUCCACAAUGGGAUCCAACCAGGAAGCCAAAGAAACAAAGACAAAGGCUCUUAUUUUAUGAACAAUUAUAUCAUUAAUUGCAAAUGCCCCCACAUGUUCUUUAAUAGAAAUGCUCUGGUCUGAA